This 72-nucleotide transfer RNA is filed under the name Phrynosoma platyrhinos (Desert horned lizard). Its description in RNAcentral is "tRNA-OTHER". Lineage: Eukaryota; Metazoa; Chordata; Lepidosauria; Squamata; Phrynosomatidae. The record is from RNAcentral.
GCCAGCGUGGGAUAGUGGUUUGAGCAUUGGAUUAUGACUCUGGAGACCAGGGUUCAAGUCCCCCCUCAGCCA